CGUGCGGGAGCAACAAUGCUCGGCCAUCCGAGCGCCGAGCCUCCGGGCCCCACCCGGGCUCCGCGGCCGCCGGGCCCCGGACGGGAGGAGGGAGGGGCGGGGGAGAAGCGGCGGCCCGAAAGCAUCCCCCGAAAUCGGCGCCCGCCGGGAAUGUGGGGGCGACGGGCCGAGGCUCCGCACACGGUCGCUGGGCUUAGGGUUUGGUGCCUGGCCUUUUUUAUGGCAUGGGGAGGGGAGGGGAGGCAGCACCUAGUAAAUGAGAAAUUUCCUGUUCGCAAGACUCUGCUUGCAGAGUUUCUGUCCUGCCCUUGAACUGACAAGUGAAUAUCUGCAUCUCAACCAGGCAGAAAGUAAAUCACACGGCGCGAGACUCGGGCAGGGAGGCAAGGGAGAGAGGGAGGGAGGGAGGGAGGGGGAGGAGGAAGAGGAAGAGAGCCGUCUGCUCACCGCAGCUGGGUUGCUAAGAGCUCAGACUGGAGGAGGCCUGCUGUUUCCUCACGCGGCUAAGCCUAAGUCUCAGCCUCGACCGCCUUUGGAAGGCGGUGGCUACUCCUCUGGUUUAGCCUGGCCCGGCCCUGAGUGGGGGAGAGGUCCUCCUGGGUCCCCGAGCUCACACGUGAGAACCCGAGGCCUAGUGUAAGCACUUUGAUCCUUUCCUACCAGCCCGAGGAGGAGCCAGCGCAGAGUUGUGGCUUUUAACCCAUUGUGUGCCAAGAGGAUAGUGGACUAUGGGUUUUAUGGCAACCAAUUUGGCGUGGAUAGCAGAAAAGCGGGGAGACCUUGCUAAACCACCGGGAGAGCAGCUGGGUCGGGGGUGGGGAGCAAACUCUGCUAGAGAGCAGGCCUUGACUGAGACUAUGCCGGCCUUUUGGAGCAAGAAUUUCUAGUUACUAUGCACCACAGAUAACGUGGACUUGAAGGUCAGGAACUCGCCUUGCCCCGUGUCAGAGAAAGGCUUGCGGAGGCGGGGGGAGAGUGAGUGGUAGAAGGGAAGGGCUGAGGGUCCACACUGGAUUUUUACCAACCCUUGCCCACCUAUGAAGCCUGGGGACCUUUCCAGCUGCUCCCAGCUCCCUCUCCCCAGGUCAUGCCCCACCGUAAAGCUACUUUGGAAUAAGCCGGGCACCCGAGUUAAUGAUUGAUUUAUUGGCCUCGAGGCAUUGGGCCGGUCGGUCUCCUUUAUAUUUGCCUAAACUGGAGACUGGCUGUAAAAGCUCCCUUCGGCUGUAGCCACAGCUAGAGAGAGCGGGCCGUGGAAACCCCGGAGAGAAAAUCAAUGCAGCUGAAAUGAAGAAGUGGACAAUUUAUUAGACCGCAUCACGCGACACACGAUGUCAGGAUCACGAAACAGACCAAGGUCCGUGACGUCUAAAGGAAACAUUGGGAAGCGCCACACGUAAACGCUUUGGCAGCUGGUGAUUAGGUAGCCCAGUUUUAUGACUAAUAAUGGGCUGCUCGCCUGCCCUCCACAACCUGUUCGGUAUGAGCUGGGGCUGCCCGAGCACAGACCGAGGGAGGAGGGAAGAUGAAUGCUCUGCGGGAGUCCGGCAGCCCGCGUUGAUAAGGAUUUCCUCUAAUUUCUCGCAGAAGGCAACACAAACACCUUAAAUCAAACUGCUCCGACAACCGAAGUCUCCACACAGACACAUCAAUAAGGAUUUCGCCUCUUGCGUUCAAACCAGAAACACUUGUCCUAUUUUUAUGCAAAUGAAACCACACAAAUGGAUUUCGCCCGCUCUGAGGGAGGGAGGAGAUGGGAAGGGGGGAAAGAAAAGAGAGAAAGGGAGAGAAGCCAAGGCUAAACCUUUCCUCACUAGCACUCGAUGUACUGUAUUGGGAUAGGUGCGGGCUCCAUAUCCUGCGCCCUGCUGUUCCUCCCCCCAGCGGGGUGGCUCUAUGCCAGAACCUUGAAGUCAGCCACAAAUAAAUGCUGGCUGGGAAAGCCCGAUUAGGAAAAGGGGCGAAGUGAGUCUGUGACUAAUCGUAGAGGCCUCGGACGGACUACAAGGCCAUGUGCAUCUGACAUAAUCGACACUAAAAGAGGAGAUGGCUUAGCCGCACUUAAUUGCAGACUUAGAAAAAAUUGCCGGGUGAGCAGUGCCGAUAUAGAUUAUACGGACCCCGGGAGAUCUAGAAGUAACCCUGCUCUUGAGUUCAGCACGGAGGCCACCUCUUUUAAGAGGUAGCUUGUUUUUGUUUUUUAUGUAGUUGGCAGUGGGGAAGACUAGACAGGGGUGGGGUGGGGGGGGACAGUAAGCCUAGGGAGAGUAGUUUAGGGGCCUGCAGGUUCAAGAGAACGAAUAAAAGGUCUUUGUGGCCAACUUCACACUCCCUCCCUUUGAUUUUAUAUUUGCUUACCUUCACUCCCACUGCCCUCCGUUCCCCGUAAAGACAGAAACUAGAGCAAAACCUAUCACUAGCUGACUCCUCUUAGCAACAAGUCCCCUAGUUAAAAUUCUACGCCCCCCCCCUCUUCUUUCUCUCAUCCCAGGGUAAUCUGUGAAUCCUAUUUCACCGCCCCCCUCCCCAAUUCACCGAAGUUGUUUGGUCUAUUCUCUUUCUGAUCCUU
RNAcentral lists this long non-coding RNA (2569 nucleotides) under Sarcophilus harrisii (Tasmanian devil). Its description in RNAcentral is "lncRNA (ENSSHAG00000021511.1)". The record is from RNAcentral. Lineage: Eukaryota; Metazoa; Chordata; Mammalia; Dasyuromorphia; Dasyuridae.